GUGGGGAAUUUUCCGCAAUGGGCGCAAGCCUGACGGAGCAAGACCGCGUGGGGGAGGAAGGCUCUUGGGUUGUAAACCCCUUUUCUCAGGGAAGAAGUUCUGACGGUACCUGAGGAAUCAGCCUCGGCUAACUCCGUGCCAGCAGCCGCGGUAAUACGGAGGAGGCAAGCGUUAUCCGGAAUUAUUGGGCGUAAAGCGUCCGUAGGUGGUGGGGCAAGUCGGCGGUUAAAGACUGGGGCUUAACUCCAGAAAGGCCGUGGAAACUGCACCACUAGAGGGCAGUAGGGGUAGAGGGAAUUCCCGGUGUAGCGGUGAAAUGCGUAGAGAUCGGGAAGAACACCAGUGGCGAAAGCGCUCUACUGGACUGCAACUGACACUCAGGGACGAAAGCUAGGGGAGCGAAUGGGAUUAGAAACCCCGGUAGUCC
This 427-nucleotide ribosomal RNA is filed under the name uncultured bacterium. RNAcentral's name for it is "bacterial SSU rRNA". It matches the Rfam family "Bacterial small subunit ribosomal RNA", at positions 354 to 796 of the family's 1533-position model. The record is from RNAcentral.